Molecule: ribosomal RNA, 460 nt
Filed under: uncultured bacterium
Lineage: Bacteria
Description: partial 16S ribosomal RNA
Rfam family: Bacterial small subunit ribosomal RNA
Source: RNAcentral
CCUACGGGAGGCAGCAGUGAGGAAUAUUGGUCAAUGUGCGCGAGCCUGAACCAGCCAAGUCGCGUGAAGGAUGACUGCCCUACGGGUUGUAAACUUCUUUUAUAAAGGAAUAAAGUGAGGCACGUGUGCCUUUUUGUAUGUACUUUAUGAAUAAGGAUCGGCCAACUUCGUGCCAGCAGCCGCGGUAAUACGGAGGAUCCGAGCGUUAUCCGGAUUUAUUGGGUUUAAAGGGAGCGUAGAUGGGUUGUUAAGUCAGUUGUGAAAGUUUGCGGCUCAACCCUAAAAUUGCAAUUGAUACUGGCAGCCUUGAGUACAGUUGAGGUAGGCGGAAUUCGUGGUGUAGCGGUGAAAUGCUUAGAUAUCACGAAGAACUCCGAUUGCGAAGGCAGCUUACUAAACUGCCACUGACAUUGAUGCUCGAAAGUGUGGGUAUCAAACAGGAUUAGAUACCCGAGUAGUC